This 253-nucleotide ribosomal RNA is filed under the name uncultured bacterium. Its description in RNAcentral is "partial 16S ribosomal RNA". It matches the Rfam family "Bacterial small subunit ribosomal RNA", at positions 524 to 776 of the family's 1533-position model. The record is from RNAcentral.
UACAGAGGUCUCAAGCGUUGUUCGGAUUCAUUGGGCGUAAAGGGCGCGUAGGCGGCCUUCUAAGUCGAACGUGAAAUCCCUGGGCUCAACCCAGGAACUGCGUCCGAUACUGGAAGGCUUGAAUCCGGGAGAGGGAUGCGGAAUUCCAGGUGUAGCGGUGAAAUGCGUAGAUAUCUGGAGGAACACCGGUGGCGAAGGCGGCAUCCUGGACCGGUAUUGACGCUGAGGCGCGAAAGCCAGGGGAGCAAACGGG